GUUCCCUUCGGGGGGCGAGUAAAGCGGCGAAUGGGUGAGUAACACGUGAGUAAUCUACCCCUGGGUUUGGGAUAACCUACCGAAAGGUGGGCUAAUACCAGAUAACAUCCGCCGGGACCGCCGGUGGAUCAAAGGCUGCCUCUGCUUGCAAGUAGUCGCCUGAGGAUGAGCUCGCGCACCAUUAGCUUGUUGGUGGGGUAACGGCCUACCAAGGCUGCGAUGGUUAGCUGGUCUGAGAGGAUGACCAGUCACACCGGAAUUGAGAUACGGUCCGGACUCCUACGGGAGGCAGCAGUGAGGAAUAUUGCGCAAUGGGCGAAAGCUUGACGCAGCAACGCCGCGUGGAGGAUGAAGGCCUUCGGGUCGUAAACUUCUUUCGACCGGAAAGAAAACCCGCCGGAUGAAUAAGCCGGCGGACUGACGGUACCGGUAUAAGAAGCCCCGGCUAACUCUGUGCCAGCAGCCGCGGUAAUACAGAGGGGGCAAGCGUUGUUCGGAAUUAUUGGGCGUAAAGGGAGCGUAGGCGGCCGGAUAAGUCAGUGGUGAAAGCCCAGGGCUCAACCCUGGAAGUGCCUUUGAUACUGUUCGGCUUGAGUAC
RNAcentral lists this ribosomal RNA (598 nucleotides) under uncultured bacterium. RNAcentral describes it as "bacterial SSU rRNA". It matches the Rfam family "Bacterial small subunit ribosomal RNA", at positions 73 to 649 of the family's 1533-position model. The record is from RNAcentral.